GACGAACGCUGGCGGCGUGCUUAACACAUGCAAGUCGAACGGAAAGGCCCUGCAUUUGUGGGGUGCUCGAGUGACGAACGGGUGUGUAACACGUGAGUAACCUGCCCUUGACUUUGGGAUAACUUCAGGAAACUGGGGCUAAUACCGGGUAGGAGCUCCUGCAGCAUGGUGGGGGUUGGAAAGAUGCGGCGGUUGGGGAUGCACUCGCGGCUUAUCAGCUUGUUGGUGGGGUAGUGGCUUACCAAUGCUUUGACGGGUAGCCGGACUGAGAGGGUGACCGGCCACAUUGGGCCUGAGAAGGCGGCAAGACUCAUACGGGGGGCAGCGGUGGGAAAUUUUGCGCGAUGGGCGGAAGCCUGAUGGAGCAACGCCGCGUGCUGGAUGACGGCCGUCGGGGUGGAAACCUCGUUCGCCUGUGACGAAGCGUGAGUGACGGUAAUGAGUAAAGAAGGGACGGCUAACUACGUG
Molecule: ribosomal RNA, 468 nt
Filed under: uncultured bacterium
Lineage: Bacteria
Description: partial 16S ribosomal RNA
Rfam family: Bacterial small subunit ribosomal RNA
Source: RNAcentral